AUUCCCAUCCUGGCUAAAGACGAACGCUGGCGUCCNGCUUAACACAUGCAAGUCGAACGGAAAGGCCCUGCUUUUGUGGGGUGCUCGAGUGGCGAACGGGUGAGUAACACGUGAGUAACCUGCCCUUGACUUUGGGAUAACUUCAGGAAACUGGGGCUAAUACCAGAUAGGAGCUCCUGCUGCAUGGUGGGGGUUGGAAAGUUUCGGCGGUUGGGGAUGGACUCGCGGCUUAUCAGCUUGUUGGUGGGGUAGUGGCUUACCAAGGCUUUGACGGGUAGCCGGCCUGAGAGGGUGACCGGCCACAUUGGGACUGAGAUACGGCCCAGACUCCUACGGGAGGCAGCAGUGGGGAAUAUUGCACAAUGGGCGGAAGCCUGAUGCAGCAACGCCGCGUGCGGGAUGACGGCCUUCGGGUUGUAAACCGCUUUCGCCCGUGACGAAGCGUGAGUGACGGUAAUGGGUAAAGAAGCACCGGCUAACUACGUGCCAGCAGCCGCGGUGAUACGUAGGGUGCGAGCGUUGUCCGGAUUUAUUGGGCGUAAAGGGCUCGUAGGUGGUUGAUCGCGUCGGAAGUGUAAUCUUGGGGCUUAACCCUGAGCGUGCUUUCGAUACGGGUUGACUUGAGGAAGGUAGGGGAGAAUGGAAUUCCUGGUGGAGCGGUGGAAUGCGCAGAUAUCAGGAGGAACACCAGUGGCGAANGCGGNUCUCUGGGCCUUUCCUGACGCUGANGAGCGAAAGCGUGGGGAGCGAACAGGCUUAGAUACCCUGGUUAGUCCACGCUGUAAACGGUGGGUACUAGGUGU
This 803-nucleotide ribosomal RNA is filed under the name uncultured Actinomycetes bacterium. RNAcentral describes it as "bacterial SSU rRNA". It matches the Rfam family "Bacterial small subunit ribosomal RNA", at positions 10 to 823 of the family's 1533-position model. The record is from RNAcentral. Lineage: Bacteria; Bacillati; Actinomycetota; Actinomycetes.